This 751-nucleotide ribosomal RNA is filed under the name uncultured soil archaeon. RNAcentral's name for it is "bacterial SSU rRNA". It matches the Rfam family "Archaeal small subunit ribosomal RNA", at positions 4 to 763 of the family's 1478-position model. The record is from RNAcentral.
CUGGUUGAUCCUGCCAGACCCGACUGCUAUCAGAGUGGGACUAAGCCAUGCGAGUCAACGCCGCAAGGCGUGGCAUACGGCCCAGUAACACGUAGUCAACAUGCCCAGGGGACAUGGAUAACCUCGGGAACCUGAGGAUAAACCGCGAUAGGCCAAGGUUUCUGGAAUGGACACUGGCUGAAACCUAUACGGCCCCUGGAUUGGACUGCGGCCGAUCAGGCCGUUGGUGAGGUAAUGGCCCACCAAACCUGUAACCGGUACGGGCUUUGAGAGAAGGAGCCCGGAGAUGGGCACUGAGACAAGGGCCCAGGCCCUAUGGGGCGCAGCAGGCGCGAAACCUCUGCAAUAGGCGAAAGCUUGACAGGGUUACUCUGAGUGAUGCCCGCUAAGGGCAUCUUUUGGCACCUCUAAAAAUGGUGCAGAAUAAGGGGUGGGCAAGUCUGGCGUCAGCCGCCGCGGUAAUACCAGCACCCCGAGUGGUCGGGACGACUAUUGGGCCUAAAGCAUCCGUAGCUUGUUCUGCAAGUCUUCCGUUAAAUCCACCUGCUCAACAGAUGGGCUGCGGGAGAUACUACAGGGCUAGGAGGCGGGAGAGGCAAACGGUACUCAGUGGGUAGGGGUAAAAUCCUCUGAUCCACUGAAGACCACCAGUGGCGAAGGCGGUUUGCCAGAACGCGCUCGACGGUGAGGGAUGAAAGCUGGGGGAGCAAACCGGAUUAGAUACCCGGGUAGUCCCAGCUGUAAACGAUGC